ACGGGUGAGUAAUGUCUGGGAAACUGCCCGAUGGAGGGGGAUAACUACUGGAAACGGUAGCUAAUACCGCAUAACGUCGCGAGACCAAAGUGGGGGACCUUCGGGCCUCACACCAUCGGAUGUGCCCAGAUGGGAUUAGCUAGUAGGUGGGGUAACGGCUCACCUAGGCGACGAUCCCUAGCUGGUCUGAGAGGAUGACCAGCCACACUGGAACUGAGACACGGUCCAGACUCCUACGGGAGGCAGCAGUGGGGAAUAUUGCACAAUGGGCGCAAGCCUGAUGCAGCCAUGCCGCGUGUAUGAAGAAGGCCUUCGGGUUGUAAAGUACUUUCAGCGGGGAGGAAGGCGAUGUGGUUAAUAACCGCGUCGAUUGACGUUACCCGCAGAAGAAGCACCGGCUAACUCCGUGCCAGCAGCCGCGGUAAUACGGAGGGUGCAAGCGUUAAUCGGAAUUACUGGGCGUAAAGCGCACGCAGGCGGUCUGUCAAGUCGGAUGUGAAAUCCCCGGGCUUAACCUGGGAACUGCAUUCGAAACUGGCAGGCUAGAGUCUUGUAGAGGGGGGUAGAAUUCCAGGUG
RNAcentral lists this ribosomal RNA (577 nucleotides) under uncultured Enterobacteriaceae bacterium. RNAcentral describes it as "bacterial SSU rRNA". It matches the Rfam family "Bacterial small subunit ribosomal RNA", at positions 102 to 675 of the family's 1533-position model. The record is from RNAcentral. Lineage: Bacteria; Pseudomonadati; Pseudomonadota; Gammaproteobacteria; Enterobacterales; Enterobacteriaceae.